UAAUUCCUUUUAGUAAGUGAGUAAUUAACUCGCGAUGGGUUGUUAUAAUGGAAUUAC
This 57-nucleotide transfer RNA is filed under the name Armadillidium vulgare (common pillbug). Its description in RNAcentral is "tRNA-Asn". The record is from RNAcentral. Lineage: Eukaryota; Metazoa; Arthropoda; Malacostraca; Isopoda; Armadillidiidae.